Molecule: long non-coding RNA, 1709 nt
Organism: Callithrix jacchus (white-tufted-ear marmoset)
Lineage: Eukaryota; Metazoa; Chordata; Mammalia; Primates; Cebidae
Source: RefSeq, a predicted model, not a curated record
CAGUCCCAUUUACGCUUUUUUCUUUAGUUAUGCUUCCUUGUGGAGAUGGUUGAUUGGAGAUGGUUGAAGGUAGGCAUGACUAUGUAUCAUGCUUCAGCCAAUCAUAGAUGAGCAUCCCUUUGCACCAGAGUAUUUACUUCCGGAUAUUCAAGCCUCAAGUUCCUUCUCCUUUGACCCCCAUUCCAAAAAGAAACCACAAACUGAUCGGGUGACAAAAGUGAGAAGAGACGAGGCAACCGGAAAUCUUCAGGGACCGGUUCCUUCCAAGCCCAGGCCUCUUCUCCCCAGCACAGCGCGGCCUACAGCCUGGACGUGCCAGCAGGGACCCUGACCCUACAGUCAUAACCCUUAAAGUUCAUUUCCUCUGUGUGGCCAUUUUCGGCCAAGAAAUGAAGCUUUAUAUCUACUACUGGGCAAAGACAGAGAGAAGGGAUGGUGAUGGUGAUGGUGAUGGAGAGUCUCCCGGGGAAUUACGAGAGUUGUGGUGGUGUCUCACUAGGCAUUGACGGAGUCUUGUUCUGUCAACAGGCUGGAAGCACAGUGGGCCGUCUCGGCUCUCUGCAGCCUCUGCCUCCCUGGUUCAAGUGAUCCUUCUGCCUCAACCUCCCGAGUAGCUGAGACUACAGGCGUGUGCCAUCACGCCCAGCUAAUUUUUGUAUUUUUAGUAGAGACGGGGUUUCACCAUGUUGGCCAAGAUGGUCUUGAUCUCUUGACCUCAUGAUCCUCCCACCUCGGCUUCCCCAAGUGCUGGUAUUACAGGCGUGAGCCACUGCACCUGGCCAGAAUAUGUAUUCUUAAUUAUUGUGUCUGCUCAGAUUCAGUGUAAAUUGUUCCCACAUCAUUAGAAAGUGCCGUGUUUACACAACAAUGGAAGUUUUGUUUAUUUUUUUCCAUGUGGAACUGAAAUUAUUCACAGGUCACAGUUAGGAGAAAAAAGAAACAUCCAGAUGGACGAUCCUUUAUUUUCUCAGCUGGAUGGUGUGUAUGUCUGUGGAAUGUAUCUGUGCAAAUAGCAAACUUUUACAUUCAGGAAGUGAUAUUUCAGAACAAGCUUUUGUAAAACAGUACUUUUUGUAGUUUGGGGUGAAGCCAAGGCAAAAUUUAGAUUCCUUCUAUUUCAUAAAUGAACUCUAUAAUAAACAAAAUGAAGUCUAUGAAGUCGAUUUACAAUAUGGUUAUUGUAUGGGAUUUGACAUCACUGUAAAGUAUUACGUUGGACAAAAAUAAUGCUGCUGAAAAUACUUGCUGCCAGUGGCUCUCAGAAUUAUAAGGAAAGGCAAUUGGUAGUGAAUUCUUUUAACUUGGAAUUCAAAUCUCAGGACUGAAUGUUGUCCAUUAUUGGAGUUCAAAGGCAACUAUCUCUAGAAUUGUUCUUUUAAUGCUUGUUGGAUGGUUUUAGUUGUUUUUUUUCUUGUAGGCACACAAUUGUUGUCUUGAUCUUCGUGAUAAAAAGCGUUCUCUGGGUCUUUGUAGUGAACCCAGUUGGCCUGGUAACAUGCCUGUAGUCAGAAUUCCAAAGUGGGGAAACAAAGGCUUAGAAAUUAUUGGCUGAGAACUGUUUGUUCAGAACUGUGGGAAUCUUACCCUGGCCUGUGGAACCAAUGGACUCUCUUCAUUAGAUCCACAUUCAUCCAGAAAUGCCCCGAUUCCUUGCCCUUUUGUCUUUUCCCAAACUAGAGCUUUAACCACAAUAAAAACAAAUGUGGCAA